AACAGUUAAGUUGAUAUUAACUGCUUGGCAUCAGUUUGCUGUCUCCAGGUUCUCCAUUCCCCUGAUGAACACUUCCAUCCCAGCCUGGAGAAUUCUGGCCGUGCUGGAAACCUGUAGGAACCCAGACGUCUCUGGCCAUCCUUCGAUCCUGCCUAGUCCUUCAUGCCAGUGGAAGACCUUAGGGAUUAAACUCAGGAUCUCCUGCUUGCCUGGCAGGCCCUGUGCCGCUGAGCUACAUCCCCGGCCCUACCCAGGUUUGGAUCCUUGUGGUGUUGUCUAGUCUAUCACUGGAGGGAAGUGACAUAAUGCCUCUAGUUCUUCAUCUGUCAGCCUGCACAGACUGGGUUUGAGGAGGAGAAUGGAGACUGCUGUGGCCCUUUGUGCUUUAUCUGACCCACUCCCAACUGGAAUUGCACACCAGCUGAGGCACUGGGACCCCAGCACUGGCACUGAGCCAGACAGGGACUUGUGCUCUAUGGGAAAUACUGUUCUGGGUCAGCAUUUUGCUUCUGCCCAGGCUGUGUGGCCAGCCAGGGUCUUCCUGAAUCCGUUUCCUCUGUAGAUGGGUCCACUGCAGUUAUGGGAGCCCCACACAAGAAGUUCUGAGGGUGCCUGGGCUCUGGAGGGGUGUUCUGUGAGGGUGGCUGCAGUGGCACUUUCUCCUGCAGGUCCACGCCGGGCUUGUGCAUCACAAGCAUCGUUAGGAGGUGUUCUCUGCCAACUCUCUGAUGUGGACCUUUCUUAGCCGGGCCUCAGUUUCUCCAUGUCGUCAGCCAUUGCAUCAGUCACAGUGACCUUUUCAAACAUCCUGAGCUCGUGAGUAGUCUGAGGGCAUGGUGUCAGGUCCCAAACCUGUCCUGAGUGAGUUGUCUUUGAGGAGCCCCUGCUUUCCCAGGCAGAAGGGGACAGAAAGUGACGUGGAGGUUGGGUCGAGGCUUGACCUGCUGCCUGGCUGCUCCUCCAGUCACGGAGCAGUUAAAUGUGGAUGACUUCUCUUGGAAGUGGGGAUGAAGCCUGACCCGGAAAAGCCUACCUGCUUGGAGCCCCGAAGGUGGAGCCUUUUCCUGAAGGCCCCCAAAGCCUGGGUGUCUCCUGGGGUCGUCCUCCUGCACACCCUGCUGGGGUCUGGGAUGGGAAGGAGGGCG
RNAcentral lists this long non-coding RNA (1145 nucleotides) under Heterocephalus glaber (naked mole-rat). RNAcentral describes it as "lncRNA (ENSHGLG00100051112.1)". The record is from RNAcentral. Lineage: Eukaryota; Metazoa; Chordata; Mammalia; Rodentia; Bathyergidae.